AAGUCGUAACAAGGUCUCCGUUGGUGAACCAGCGGAGGGAUCAUUACAGAGUUGCAAAACUCCCACAAACCAUCGCGAAUCUUACCCGUACGGUUGCCUCGGCGCUGGCGGUCCGGAAGGCCUCUCGGGGCCCCCGGACCCUCGGGUCUCCCGCUCGCGGGAGGCUGCCCGCCGGAGUGCCGAAACCAAACUCUUGAUAAUUUUAUGUUUCUCUGAGUAAACUUUUAAAUAAGUCAAAACUUUCAACAACGGAUCUCUUGGUUCUG
This 266-nucleotide unclassified non-coding RNA is filed under the name Neurospora terricola. RNAcentral describes it as "partial internal transcribed spacer region". The stretch from base 1 to 46 matches the Rfam family "Eukaryotic small subunit ribosomal RNA", at positions 1786 to 1831 of the family's 1831-position model. Lineage: Eukaryota; Fungi; Ascomycota; Sordariomycetes; Sordariales; Sordariaceae. The record is from RNAcentral. RNAcentral also lists the same sequence under 1 other name.